GGAGAGGUGGCCGAGCGGCCGAAGGCGCACGAUUGGAAGUCGUGUUUGGGGCAACCCAACGUGGGUUCAAAUCCCACCCUCUCCGCCA
This 88-nucleotide transfer RNA is filed under the name uncultured Acidimicrobiales bacterium. RNAcentral's name for it is "tRNA-Ser-GGA". It matches the Rfam family "tRNA". Rfam says of the family: Transfer RNA (tRNA) molecules are approximately 80 nucleotides in length. Their secondary structure includes four short double-helical elements and three loops (D, anti-codon, and T loops). Lineage: Bacteria; Bacillati; Actinomycetota; Acidimicrobiia; Acidimicrobiales. RNAcentral also lists the same sequence under 1 other name. The record is from RNAcentral.